Molecule: ribosomal RNA, 427 nt
Filed under: uncultured bacterium
Lineage: Bacteria
Description: bacterial SSU rRNA
Rfam family: Bacterial small subunit ribosomal RNA
Source: RNAcentral
CGCUGGCGGCAUGCCUAACACAUGCAAGUCGAACGAGACCUUCGGGUCUAGUGGCGCACGGGUGCGUAACGCGUGGGAACCUGCCUUUAGGUUCGGAAUAACUCAGAGAAAUUUGAGCUAAUACCGGAUGAUGUCGCAAGACCAAAGAUUUAUCGCCCAAGGAUGAGCCCGCGUAGGAUUAGCUUGUUGGUGAGGUAAAAAGCUCACCAAGGCGACGAUCCUUAGCUGGUCUGAGAGGAUGAUCAGCCACACUGGGACUGAGACACGGCCCAGACUCCUACGGGAGGCAGCAGUGGGGAAUAUUGGACAAUGGGCGAAAGCCUGAUCCAGCAAUGCCGCGUGAGUGAUGAAGGCCUUAGGGUUGUAAAGCUCUUUACCCGAGAUGAUAAUGACAGUAUCGGGAGAAUAAGCUCCGGCUAACUCCGUG